CUGAGGGGCUGACCCGUGGUUAUUCUGCAGUUUACAUGAACAUCUAUUUUGACUACACCUGAAUUUUUUUCAAUAUCCUAACUUUUCCAUAGGCCUUCUGUAUUUCAACAGCUCAAUACAGACAUUGUGUUUUAAGGCAGGGACCAGAGGAGGUCUGGCAAAAUGGGGGUCCAGCUGUAACUCUCCUAUGCUUCAUGUUGAUGUAAGAAGCAAGAAAGGAAAAAAUAUACACAAGAAAAACACUGAAAAGGAAGACUGCUAAUGCUGCUAAGGUAGGAAUGCAAAGCUCUUGCAGACACCUCCCUCCUGUCUAGCCUUCACUUAUCACUGUGGGGUUGUUAUACAGAAGAGACUGAGUGUAAUUUACAUUGUUUCUUGAAUAAAUCCACUCUCAAAGA
This is a non-coding RNA of Cyanistes caeruleus (blue tit), 398 nucleotides long. Lineage: Eukaryota; Metazoa; Chordata; Aves; Passeriformes; Paridae. The record is from RefSeq and is a predicted model, not a curated record.